CUUGCUUCUCUUGAGAGCGGCGGACGGGUGAGUAAUGCCUAGGAAUCUGCCUGGUAGUGGGGGAUAACGUUCGGAAACGGACGCUAAUACCGCAUACGUCCUACGGGAGAAAGCAGGGGACCUUCGGGCCUUGCGCUAUCAGAUGAGCCUAGGUCGGAUUAGCUAGUUGGUGGGGUAAUGGCUCACCAAGGCGACGAUCCGUAACUGGUCUGAGAGGAUGAUCAGUCACACUGGAACUGAGACACGGUCCAGACUCCUACGGGAGGCAGCAGUGGGGAAUAUUGGACAAUGGGCGAAAGCCUGAUCCAGCCAUGCCGCGUGUGUGAAGAAGGUCUUCGGAUUGUAAAGCACUUUAAGUUGGGAGGAAGGGUUGUAGAUUAAUACUCUGCAAUUUUGACGUUACCGACAGAAUAAGCACCGGCUAACUCUGUGCCAGCAGCCGCGGUAAUACAGAGGGUGCAAGCGUUAAUCGGAAUUACUGGGCGUAAAGCGCGCGUAGGUGGUUUGUUAAGUUGGAUGUGAAAUCCCCGGGCUCAACCUGGGAACUGCAUUCAAAACUGACUGACUAGAGUAUGGUAGAGGGUGGUGGAAUUUCCUGUGUAGCGGUGAAAUGCGUAGAUAUAGGAAGGAACACCAGUGGCGAAAGCGACCACCUGGACUAAUACUGACACUGAGGUGCGAAAGCGUGGGGAGCAAACAGGAUU
This 704-nucleotide ribosomal RNA is filed under the name uncultured bacterium. RNAcentral describes it as "bacterial SSU rRNA". It matches the Rfam family "Bacterial small subunit ribosomal RNA", at positions 79 to 779 of the family's 1533-position model. The record is from RNAcentral.